GCCAUCACUGUUCUAGGUGCUUUACAAAUAGUAUCUCAAAGGGAAAAAAGUGUGAAAAAUGCCCUAGAGAGUAGAAGGUAAUUCAAAGGGAGACUCACAGAUGCAGAAUAGUUUUGAAGCUAAAAUAUUGAAUUUAUUAUUUUCUUUAAAACAAAAAAAUACCAACAGAGAUUCAUGGUUCAUUUAUAAUCUUCUUCUCAUCUUUAUAUGUGAGAAUAUUUGUUUAUUGACAUUUGUCAAGUUCAUAAUAAGAUUUAUAAACAAUAAUGACCACAGUACAAUAUUAUAGUCAGUGGUUAAAGACAGAGUAUGGAGCUUAGCUUUUGGACUCAAGAGAGGCAGAGUUGACAUUCUGUUGUGAAAGGAAAAACAUUAUAUUCUUGGUUAGAUGGAAAGACAUUUAACAGAGGUGCUUAUAAAUACAGCCAGCCUCUUUUUCUUUUCUCCCCAAGAAAGAAGGUUGAAAUCUCUCCAUUCUUAUACUGUUGAUGAUAUGAAACCCCUAAAUUCUAUAACGGAUAACAUGGAGGAGAAAAUGUCAGCUGGAAAAAUACUUAAGUUAGGUGUUACCAGAUGUCUGCCCCUUUCUAUUAAAGAAGGCUCCUCUAAACAGGAAACCUCUGAGGCAAAGAUGAAGAUGGGCAGGCAUCGGGGCCAUACCCAUCAAUUACACUGCCCUCCACUCUCCAUCCCCACAGGAUGCUCUAAAUAGCCACCUGGAUCCACUGAAAGAACCUUCUUCGCUCUAAUAUGCUGAGUCUUUGACCAUUAUGACAGUCUCAGGACCUAAGGAAGGAGAAGGGAUUCUAACUUCAGGCAGCAGGAAAAGGACAGGAGUCUGAACUUGAAGUCAAGUAGAAAAGUAACUGCACAAGAGCUUGAAAGGAAAGGGCAUACUAGAAGAGUUCCAGGCCCCAGGUCUAUGAUGUGAAGAUUUCUAUUCCACAGGAACAUCUGCUUCUCUGCCCCCAACAACUAUUCAAGAAGCCUUCAAUAGCCGAGAAAAUCAUAGGCUAUUGUAACUCAGUAAAGAAGAGGAAUGUUGGGGAAGAAAAGUCCCAUUUUGAUGGGGUCACAAUCUCUAGUCACCCUCUUUCCCUCCACUUCCAGGCUGCCUUUUUUAAGACACCCCCAACAAGUAAAUGAUAAUCUUGGGCAUGGGUGAGAGGUAGAAGUGGGAUUCAGUAAGGUAUAAUCACCUACCAGAGGUACACAUCUGUUGGUUUGGCACACAUUCUCCAAAGCAACAUAUGGAAGCUUUGCAGUACAGUUUUUUUGUUGUUGUUGGGGUUUUUUUUUCUCCCGGGUUUUUUUUGGUUCGGGGUUGUUUUUCUCUGACCUGGUACCUCAGGCAGAAAUCUCAGCUGAGACAGCUAAGCAGAUCCCUAAGUGGCUGUCAUAAAAUGUUACUAUAAUCCUGUGGAUCUUUUCCCUCUUAGAAUCUCUGCUGUUGUUAGCUGGAGUCUAAUUAGCAGAAGGCAGAUAACACAAGGCAGAUUCCAGAAAUAUGCAGACACAAUUUCUACAAGCUGGCUGCCUCCUUCUUAUUAUGUUAAUAAUGAAGAUAUUCCCAUUGUUACCUUGGGACUGCUUCCUUGAUAAAGACCAGUAGAAUGUGCCAGGUAUGCUGAAUAAACAAGUCACGGAGAGGGUGGUAAUGAUCUCA
Long non-coding RNA from Monodelphis domestica (gray short-tailed opossum), 1666 nucleotides. Lineage: Eukaryota; Metazoa; Chordata; Mammalia; Didelphimorphia; Didelphidae. The record is from Ensembl.